AUUGAACGCUGGCGGCAGGCCUAACACAUGCAAGUCGAGCGGUAGAGAGGUGCUUGUACCUCUUGAGAGCGGCGGACGGGUGAGUAAUGCCUAGGAAUCUGCCUGGUAGUGGGGGAUAACGCUCGGAAACGGACGCUAAUACCGCCUAUGUCCUACGGGAGAAAGCAGGGGACCUUCGGGCCUUGCGCUAUAAGAUGAGCCUGGGUCGGAUUAGCUAGUUGGUGAGGUAAUGGCUCACCAAGGCGACGAUCCGUAACUGGUCUGAGAGGAUGAUCAGUCACACUGGAACUGAGACACGGUCCAGACUCCUACGGGAGGCAGCAGUGGGGAAUAUUGGACAAUGGGCGAAAGCCUGAUCCAGCCAUGCCGCGUGUGUGAAGAAGGUCUUCGGAUUGUAAAGCACUUUAAGUUGGGAGGAAGGGUCGUUACCUAAUACGUGACGAUUUUGACGUUACCGACAGAAUAAGCACCGGCUAACUCUGUGCCAGCCGCCGCCGUAA
RNAcentral lists this ribosomal RNA (500 nucleotides) under uncultured bacterium. Its description in RNAcentral is "partial 16S ribosomal RNA". It matches the Rfam family "Bacterial small subunit ribosomal RNA", at positions 30 to 523 of the family's 1533-position model. The record is from RNAcentral.